AUGGCUCAGUGGUAGAGCACUUGCCUAACAUGCAGAAGGCUCUGGGUUCAAUCUCCAGU
RNAcentral lists this transfer RNA (59 nucleotides) under Heterocephalus glaber (naked mole-rat). It matches the Rfam family "tRNA", at positions 7 to 64 of the family's 71-position model. Rfam says of the family: Transfer RNA (tRNA) molecules are approximately 80 nucleotides in length. Their secondary structure includes four short double-helical elements and three loops (D, anti-codon, and T loops). Lineage: Eukaryota; Metazoa; Chordata; Mammalia; Rodentia; Bathyergidae. The record is from Rfam by way of RNAcentral.